This 941-nucleotide ribosomal RNA is filed under the name uncultured bacterium. RNAcentral describes it as "bacterial SSU rRNA". It matches the Rfam family "Bacterial small subunit ribosomal RNA", at positions 24 to 967 of the family's 1533-position model. The record is from RNAcentral.
UCGUGCUCGUGCUCGUGCUCAAGCCUAAUACAUGCAAGUCGAGCGGUAUUUGUCUUUCGGGACAGAGAGAGCGGCGUACGGGUGCGGAACACGUGUGCAACCUGCCUUUAUCAGGGGGAUAGCCUUUCGAAAGGAAGAUUAAUACCCCAUAAUAUUUAGAAUGGCAUCAUUUUAAAUUGAAAACUCCGGUGGAUAGAGAUGGGCACGCGCAAGAUUAGAUAGUUGGUGAGGUAACGGCUCACCAAGUCAGCGAUCUUUAGGGGGCCUGAGAGGGUGAUCCCCCACACUGGUACUGAGACACGGACCAGACUCCUACGGGAGGCAGCAGUGAGGAAUAUUGGACAAUGGGUGCAAGCCUGAUCCAGCCAUCCCGCGUGAAGGAUGACGGCCCUAUGGGUUGUAAACUUCUUUUGUAUAGGGAUAAACCUAGAUACGUGUAUCUAGCUGAAGGUACUAUACGAAUAAGCACCGGCUAACUCCGUGCCAGCAGCCGCGGUAAUACGGAGGGUGCAAGCGUUAUCCGGAUUUAUUGGGUUUAAAGGGUCCGUAGCCGGAUCUGUAAGUCAGUGGUGAAAUCUCACAGCUUAACUGUGAAACUGCCAUUGAUACUGCAGGUCUUGAGUGUUAUUGAAGUAGCUGGAAUAAGUAGUGUAGCGGUGAAAUGCAUAGAUAUUACUUAGAACACCAAUUGCGAAGGCAGGUUACUAAGCAACAACUGACGCUGAUGGACGAAAGCGUGGGGAGCGAACAGGAUUAGAUACCCUGGUAGUCCACGCCGUAAACGAUGCUAACUCGUUUUUUGGGCUUUCGGGUUCAGAGACUAAGCGAAAGUGAUAAGUUAGCCACCUGGGGAGUACGUUCGCCAGAAUGAAACUCAAAGGAAUUGACGGGGGCCCGCACAAGCGGUGGAUUAUGUUGGUUAAUUCGAUGAUACGCGAGGA